UACGUAGGGUGCGAGCGUCGUUCGGAAUUAUUGGGCGUAAAGGGCUCGUAGGCGGUUUGUCGCGUCGGGAGUGAAAACUCGGAGCUUAACUCCGAGCCUGCUUCCGAUACGGGCAGACUAGAGGUAUGCAGGGGAGAACGGAAUUCCUGGUGUAGCGGUGAAAUGCGCAGAUAUCAGGAGGAACACCGGUGGCGAAGGCGGUUCUCUGGGCAUUACCUGACGCUGAGGAGCGAAAGUGUGGGGAGCGAACAGG
RNAcentral lists this ribosomal RNA (253 nucleotides) under uncultured bacterium. Its description in RNAcentral is "partial 16S ribosomal RNA". It matches the Rfam family "Bacterial small subunit ribosomal RNA", at positions 524 to 776 of the family's 1533-position model. The record is from RNAcentral.